CGGGGUGUGGUGCAUCGGUAGCACACUCGGUUCGGGACCGAGAGGCAGAGGGUUCAAUUCCCUCCACCCCGA
This 72-nucleotide transfer RNA is filed under the name Candidatus Woesebacteria bacterium. RNAcentral's name for it is "tRNA-Pro". It matches the Rfam family "tRNA". Rfam says of the family: Transfer RNA (tRNA) molecules are approximately 80 nucleotides in length. Their secondary structure includes four short double-helical elements and three loops (D, anti-codon, and T loops). Lineage: Bacteria; Candidatus Woeseibacteriota. The record is from RNAcentral.